CGGGUGACGAGCGGCGGACGGGUGAGUAAUGUCUGGGAAACUGCCUGAUGGAGGGGGAUAACUACUGGAAACGGUAGCUAAUACCGCAUAACGUCGCAAGACCAAAGUGGGGGACCUUCGGGCCUCAUGCCAUCAGAUGUGCCCAGAUGGGAUUAGCUAGUAGGUGGGGUAAUGGCUCACCUAGGCGACGAUCCCUAGCUGGUCUGAGAGGAUGACCAGCCACACUGGAACUGAGACACGGUCCAGACUCCUACGGGAGGCAGCAGUGGGGAAUAUUGCACAAUGGGCGCAAGCCUGAUGCAGCCAUGCCGCGUGUGUGAAGAAGGCCUUCGGGUUGUAAAGCACUUUCAGCGGGGAGGAAGGCGUUAAGGUUAAUAACCUUGGCGAUUGACGUUACCCGCAGAAGAAGCACCGGCUAACUCCGUGCCAGCAGCCGCGGUAAUACGGAGGGUGCAAGCGUUAAUCGGAAUUACUGGGCGUAAAGCGCACGCAGGCGGUCUGUCAAGUCGGAUGUGAAAUCCCCGGGCUCAACCUGGGAACUGCAUUCGAAACUGGCAGGCUAGAGUCUUGUAGAGGGGGGUAGAAUUCCAGGUGUAGCGGUGAAAUGCGUAGAGAUCUGGAGGAAUACCGGUGGCGAAGGCGGCCCCCUGGACAAAGACUGACGCUCAGGUGCGAAAGCGUGGGGAGCAAACGGGAUUAGAUACCCUGGUAGUCCACGCCGUAAACGAUGUCGAUUUGGAGGU
This 743-nucleotide ribosomal RNA is filed under the name uncultured Enterobacteriaceae bacterium. RNAcentral's name for it is "SSU rRNA". It matches the Rfam family "Bacterial small subunit ribosomal RNA", at positions 85 to 824 of the family's 1533-position model. The record is from RNAcentral. Lineage: Bacteria; Pseudomonadati; Pseudomonadota; Gammaproteobacteria; Enterobacterales; Enterobacteriaceae.